GGGGAUUUUCCACUCAGAUAUUCCCUAUCUUCUGUAAAGCCCAUGUGCUUCCUGGGGAGAUGGAUCUUAUCCCCCAGAGGCCUGUGCCCGAAACAUCAUGGUGGAUGAGAAGAGAGUAGAAAAGCUGUCCACCUUACAGCAGCUAGGACAAGAGCCGAGAACAAGGGAAAGAUAUACAGUGGUCCACAGUGCCACACUCCAUGUCCCACUCUUUUCAACUAAGCUCUGGCUUGCAAAUUUCCAUUACUUCCCAAUAAUCCCAUCAAAUUAUAAUCCAUCCAUGGAGGGAGGAAGCUGCAGACUUUAUCAUCCAGUUAUCACCAGAUGGGGCCCAAGGUUGUCCUUCCAAAGAGAAGACGAUGGAGACCUUAACUCA
Octodon degus (degu) is the source of this 376-nucleotide long non-coding RNA. RefSeq lists it as uncharacterized. The record is from RefSeq and is a predicted model, not a curated record. The transcript has 2 exons. Lineage: Eukaryota; Metazoa; Chordata; Mammalia; Rodentia; Octodontidae.